AAUGAUGAUGGUGGUAACAAAACAACAAUGACUCCCAUUUCUAGAGUGACUACAUUUUCUAGGGCUUUUCCUCCCAUGAGCCCUGUGGAAUAGGUAACCGAAGCUAGAAACUGGAGAUACUGAACAAUCACUCUUGAAUGCAGAGAUGUCAUCCUGGGAACACAUACAUGUUCCCUGAGCACGUGAUUUACAGGAAAUACAAAAACUGAGGGAUGAGGAAACUGAGACCUUCUUACCAGCCUUUCAUGGCAUCUCUUGUGAAAAAAGGACUCCAUGAACUAUAAAGCAGAAUCAUCAUCUUCAUCACCAUUGUGAUCAUCACCAUCUUCAUUGUUGCCAUCAUCAUCAUCACCACCAUCAUCACCAUCUUUGUUAUCAUCAUUACACAAUCAAUCCAAACGAUUUGCUAAAUUAUCCACCACAUGGCAGCUGUUACCACUCGUCUCAUUGUUUGACCUUGGCCAAUUGAAAUGACUUCUCUGUGCUGACAAGACAAGAGGAGCUCCCUCUGCCCACCCUGAGGCUAUGAAGAUACGUGAGCUAAGAAGCCCUGGCCUUUGAACUCUAGCUGGAAAAAUGAUGACAGGAAUGUGGGGUGUUUCCACCCAUCCCAAGAAGCUAUCACGUAAGUGUCUGGAGCCUUUAUCUCUGGGAACACUCUGGGAAGUCCCAGCUAGCAGAGGUGAAAUUGGCUGCCCUUUUGCUGGCUUCCAAAACUGCUUUUCCAGAUAGUAACAGUAAUGCACCAUGUCAGAUACCUCUCAGGAGCAGAUAAAGUCCUCUCUUCCACCUCCCACCAGUGGCCUCGCUGUCCAUGGCACCAGUAAGUGGAGAACUUUUAGUUGCUAAGAAAGGCAUAUCAUCCAAGGACAAGAAGCUCUGUCCUAUGCUCUGAUCAGAUUUCAUCUAGGUUAUUGGGUUUGGUUUUAUCCUUAGGGAGGAAAAUGGACUGUGUCCAGAGCCAUCUGGGGAAGUCGUAAUAUAUGAGGAUGAGCCGAAGGAGCUCAUAGGAAGAAAGACAGAGAGGACACAACGGCCAUCUUCAAACCCUUCUCUGACAAAGCUUUGGUGCCUCUUGGGGAGUCGCUGAAUUUCCCUGAGCAGCAGUUUCUACAUCUUAAAAUAAGGAUCUGAUUUCAUUUCA
Long non-coding RNA from Monodelphis domestica (gray short-tailed opossum), 1144 nucleotides. RefSeq lists it as uncharacterized. The record is from RefSeq and is a predicted model, not a curated record. Lineage: Eukaryota; Metazoa; Chordata; Mammalia; Didelphimorphia; Didelphidae.